RNAcentral lists this ribosomal RNA (468 nucleotides) under uncultured bacterium. RNAcentral describes it as "partial 16S ribosomal RNA". It matches the Rfam family "Bacterial small subunit ribosomal RNA", at positions 28 to 507 of the family's 1533-position model. The record is from RNAcentral.
GACGAACGCUGGCGGCGUGCUUAACACAUGCAAGUCGAACGGAAAGGCCCUGCUUUUGUGGGGUGCUCGAGUGGCGAACGGGUGAGUAACACGUGAGUAACCUGCCCUUGACUUUGGGAUAACUUCAGGAAACUGGGGCUAAUACCGGAUAGGAGCUCCUGCUGCAUGGUGGGGGUUGGAAAGUUUCGGCGGUUGGGGAUGGACUCGCGGCUUAUCAGCUUGUUGGUGGGGUAGUGGCUUACCAAGGCUUUGACGGGUAGCCGGCCUGAGAGGGUGACCGGCCACAUGGGGACUGAGAUACGGCGCAGACUGCUACGGGAGGCAGCAGUGGGGAAUAGUGCACAAUGGGCGGAAGCCUGAUGCAGCAACGCCGCGUGCGGGAUGACGGCCUUCGGGUUGUAAACCGCUUUCGCCUGUGACGAAGCGUGAGUGACGGUAAUGGGUAAAGAAGCACCGGCUAACUACGUG